GCAUAUCAAUAGCGGAGGAAAAGAAACCAACAGGGAUUACCUCAGUAACGGCGAGUGAAGCGGUAACAGCUCAAAUUUGAAAGCUGGCUCUUUUAGGGUCCGCGUUGUAAUUUGUAGAAGAUGCUUCGGGUGUGGCCCCGGUCUAAGUUCCUUGGAACAGGACGUCAUAGAGGGUGAGAAUCCCGUAUGUGACUGGGUGCCUUCGCUCAUGUGAAGCUCUUUCGACGAGUCGAGUUGUUUGGGAAUGCAGCUCAAAAUGGGUGGUAAAUUUCAUCUAAAGCUAAAUAUUGGCCAGAGACCGAUAGCGCACAAGUAGAGUGAUCGAAAGAUGAAAAGCACUUUGGAAAGAGAGUUAAACAGUACGUGAAAUUGUUGAAAGGGAAGCGCUUGCAACCAGACUUGCGCGCUGAUGAUCAUCCGGGCUUCUGCCCGGUGCACUCGUCUGCGCUCAGGCCAGCAUCGGUUUCGGUGGUGGGAUAAAGGCCUUGGGAAUGUAGCUCCUCUCGGGGAGUGUUAUAGCCCUCGGUGCAAUGCCGCCUACUGGGACCGAGGACCGCGCUUCGGCUAGGAUGCUGGCGUAAUGGUUGUAAGCGACCCGUCUUGAAACACGGACCAAGGAGUCUAACAUCUAUGCGAGUGUUUGGGUGUCAAACCCAUACGCGUAAUGAAAGUGAACGGAGGUGAGAACCCUUAAGGGUGCAUCAUCGACCGGUCCUGAUGUCUUCGGAUGGAUCUGAGUAAGAGCAUAGCUGUUGGGACCCGAAAAGAUGGUGAACUAUGCGUGAAUAGGGUGAAGCCAGAGGAAAACUCUGGUGGAGGCUCGCAGCGGUUUCUGACGUGCAAAUCGAUCGUCAAAUUUGCGUAUAGGGGGCGAAAAGACUAAUCGGAACCUAUCUAGUAGCCUGGUUCCUGCCGA
RNAcentral lists this ribosomal RNA (916 nucleotides) under Cercospora subulata. RNAcentral's name for it is "LSU rRNA". It matches the Rfam family "Eukaryotic large subunit ribosomal RNA", at positions 38 to 964 of the family's 3401-position model. Lineage: Eukaryota; Fungi; Ascomycota; Dothideomycetes; Mycosphaerellales; Mycosphaerellaceae. The record is from RNAcentral.